Molecule: transfer RNA, 72 nt
Filed under: Cryptotermes cavifrons
Lineage: Eukaryota; Metazoa; Arthropoda; Insecta; Blattodea; Kalotermitidae
Description: tRNA-Ser
Rfam family: tRNA
About the family: Transfer RNA (tRNA) molecules are approximately 80 nucleotides in length. Their secondary structure includes four short double-helical elements and three loops (D, anti-codon, and T loops).
Source: RNAcentral
AGUUAUAGAGCUACACAAGAAAGCAUGUGUCUUGAAAACACAAGGAAAGGAGUUUAACUCUCCUAAUAACUU